GUGCUGCCUAUAAUAUUGUAUAUUAUAGUAUUGGAGAGCAGUUCUUAUUUGAAAUAUUGCGUUUACCACAAUCGGUCCCUGCGAAAAGUGAAAUAAAAAAAACAGCAAAAAUAAUUGCAAAAAGAAGUAAACAAUCCACAAAAGGAUUUUGCAAAAAAUAUUAUUUCAUCCUCUUCUGAAACAAAGCCGUAAAAGGUGUGAAAAAGUUUCAAGUAGCUAGUCUUUUGCAGCAAUAAAGCUUCAAUUGUGUGUGCAAACUUGAAAGCAGAGAAAAUUAAAAGUUAUUUCUAAGAUUUGCAAGGUAUAAAUCACGGAAAAUACGGGAUACUAUUUUCUCUUUGUGCAAGUGUCAUAAACUAUUGCAUGGAUUAAAGUUGGAUAUACUUGUAUAAUCUUCACUCAACCUU
Molecule: long non-coding RNA, 407 nt
Organism: Bactrocera tryoni
Lineage: Eukaryota; Metazoa; Arthropoda; Insecta; Diptera; Tephritidae
Exons: 3
Source: RefSeq, a predicted model, not a curated record